AAAUGAAGUGCCUGAUUUAAAAGGAUUAUUUUGAUAGAAUAAAUUAUGUAAACUUUUUACCUUCAUU
RNAcentral lists this transfer RNA (67 nucleotides) under Harpalinae sp. 2 ACP-2013. RNAcentral describes it as "tRNA-Ile". The record is from RNAcentral. Lineage: Eukaryota; Metazoa; Arthropoda; Insecta; Coleoptera; Carabidae.